Molecule: ribosomal RNA, 253 nt
Filed under: uncultured bacterium
Lineage: Bacteria
Description: partial 16S ribosomal RNA
Rfam family: Bacterial small subunit ribosomal RNA
Source: RNAcentral
UACGUAGGGUGCAAGCGUUGUCCGGAAUUAUUGGGCGUAAAGAGCUCGUAGGCGGUUUGUCGCGUCCGUUGUGAAAGCUUGGGGCUCAACCCCAAAUCUGCAGUGGAUACGGGCAGACUAGAGUCAGGUAGGGGAGAACGGAAUUCCUGGUGUAGCGGUGAAAUGCGCAGAUAUCAGGAGGAACACCGGUGGCGAAGGCGGUUCUCUGGGCCUGUACUGACGCUGAGGAACGAAAGCGUGGGGAGCGAACAGG